CAGAUUCCCCCGCCGCCCAAAUUUGAUUUCACAAAGCCAGAAGAGUGGCCCAAAUGGAUUCGGAGGUUUGAGAGAUUUCGGAUUGCAUUGGGUCUAGCGCUACAGUCAGAGGAGAACCAGGAAGCCUACCUGCAGCAGGGGUAAUACUAGAGUGGCAGGUAAUAUGACGCCUGCCUGGGGUAAUGCUGUCUACUUGAGGGGAACAUUUUCUGGAUUGGAACACUCCACUUACUAGGACAAACAAAAUGCCACUGGACAAGAAAUGCCGGCCUUCCUCAGCUGCAGCGAAAAUGGAGACUAAAAAAAUAUCCAGCAUUUUCUCCGAUGUCGAUGGGCUUGCUGAAGUGUGUAUGGCGAAGGGCAUAGGAAUCAGAACAGAAGUAGAUGGUAUACCUCCUCGAGUUGCCCCUUU
Alosa sapidissima (American shad) is the source of this 412-nucleotide long non-coding RNA. RefSeq lists it as uncharacterized. The record is from RefSeq and is a predicted model, not a curated record. The transcript has 3 exons. Lineage: Eukaryota; Metazoa; Chordata; Actinopteri; Clupeiformes; Clupeidae.